Molecule: ribosomal RNA, 257 nt
Filed under: uncultured Leptotrichia sp.
Lineage: Bacteria; Fusobacteriati; Fusobacteriota; Fusobacteriia; Fusobacteriales; Leptotrichiaceae
Description: partial 16S ribosomal RNA
Rfam family: Bacterial small subunit ribosomal RNA
Source: RNAcentral
GGCGGACGGGUGAGUAACGCGUAAGAACUUGCCCUUUAGACUGGGAUAACAGAGGGAAACUUCUGAUAAUACUGGAUAAGUUAGUAUAUCGCAUGAUAUGCAAAUGAAAGCUACGGCACUAAAGGAGAGCUUUGCGUCCCAUUAGCUAGUUGGUAAGGUAAGAGCUUACCAAGGCGAUGAUAGGUAGCCGGCCUGAGAGGGUGGACGGCCACAAGGGGACUGAGAUACGGCCCUUACUCCUACGGGAGGCAGCAGAU